This 496-nucleotide ribosomal RNA is filed under the name Petaloptila aliena. RNAcentral describes it as "partial 16S ribosomal RNA". It matches the Rfam family "Bacterial large subunit ribosomal RNA", at positions 1819 to 2582 of the family's 2925-position model. Lineage: Eukaryota; Metazoa; Arthropoda; Insecta; Orthoptera; Gryllidae. The record is from RNAcentral.
CUUCUUGAGAUUUAGGUAAGAGGUUGUACCUGCCCACUGAUGUGGAGAGUUGAAGGGCCGCGGUAUCUUGACCGUGCAAAGGUAGCAUAAUCAUUAGUCUUUUAAUUGGGGACUGGAAUGAAGGGUUUGACGAGGCAGUGACUGUCUUUUGAAUAUUUUUUGAAUUUUACUUUUGGGUUAAAAGGCCUAAAUUUUGAAUGGGGACGAGAAGACCCUAUAGAUCUUUACUUUUGAUUUGGGAUAUUUAGUGUGGUUGACGUUUAAUGUAUUUUUAAUUAGGGGUUUUGUUGGGGUGACAGUAGAAAAUAAUUAACUUCUAUUGAAGAGUACUUUGAUGUAUGGUUAGUUGAUCCUUUAUUAUGGAUUAUAAGAUUAAGAUACCUUAGGGAUAACAGCGUUAUUUUGUUUGAGAGUUCUUAUUGACAACAAAGAUUGCGACCUCGAUGUUGGAUUAAGAUAAUAAAUUGGUGUAGUGGCUAAUUGUAUUAGUCUGUUC